AUUGAACGCUGGCGGCAGGCCUAACACAUGCAAGUCGAACGGUAGCACAGAGAGCUUGCUCUCGGGUGACGAGUGGCGGACGGGUGAGUAAUGUCUGGGAAACUGCCCGAUGGAGGGGGAUAACUACUGGAAACGGUAGCUAAUACCGCAUAACGUCGCAAGACCAAAGUGGGGGACCUUCGGGCCUCACACCAUCGGAUGUGCCCAGAUGGGAUUAGCUAGUAGGUGGGGUAAUGGCUCACCUAGGCGACGAUCCCUAGCAGGUCUGAGAGGAUGACCCGCCACACUGGAAGUGAUACACGGUACAUACUCCUACGGGAGGCAGCAGUGGGGAAUAUUUCACAAUGGGCGCAAUCCAGAUGCAGGCAUGCCGCGUAUAUGAAGAAGGCCUUCGGGUUGUUGAGUACUUUCAGCGGGGAGGAAGGCGGUGAAGUUAAUAACUUCACCGAUUGACGUUACCCGCAGAAGAAGCACCGGCUAACUCCGUGCCAGCCGCCGCAGUAA
This 504-nucleotide ribosomal RNA is filed under the name uncultured bacterium. RNAcentral describes it as "partial 16S ribosomal RNA". It matches the Rfam family "Bacterial small subunit ribosomal RNA", at positions 30 to 523 of the family's 1533-position model. The record is from RNAcentral.